This is a long non-coding RNA of Pogoniulus pusillus (Red-fronted tinkerbird), 591 nucleotides long. RefSeq lists it as uncharacterized. The transcript has 3 exons. Lineage: Eukaryota; Metazoa; Chordata; Aves; Piciformes; Lybiidae. The record is from RefSeq and is a predicted model, not a curated record.
UCUAUUCUAAGUCUUUUCAUCGCUUUCCAGAGAGAGUGGAGACUCUGCUUUUGGAAGCAGAGAGGAGCCUCCCCCCCUCCCCCUCAGCUUAGUCAUUUUCUCUGACUUUGCAGAAUUGUGACUUGUGCAAAGUCACAGAGAGCCAACGUCAGAGCUGCAAAUAGUUCUUCCACCCCCCUGUUCCAACUGUUAGAUCACUGCUCUAACAGUGCACCGGAUCAAAGGAUUUAAGACCCAGGAACCAUGAUGAUGCUCUCCAUCUUCUGUCUUGUGCAAACUGACUCAAGAUCUCUCCAUGCACCUCCAAAGAAGCCCAUGCUGGAGCAGAUUUGCUGGCAGGACUUGUGACUCCAUGGGGGACCCAAGCUGGAGCAGUUCAUGAAGAACUGCAACCUGUAGGAAGGACUCACACUGGAGAAGUUCAUGGAGGACUGUCUCCUGCUGGUGGGAUGCCACACUGGAGCAGGCAGAGAAUUCAGGAGUGAAGUUGAACUCAGGAAGAAAGGAAAGGUUUGGGGAAGGUGUUUUAAGAUUUGGAUUUAUUUCUCAUUAUCCUAUACUGACUUUUGAUUUGCAAUAAAUUAUUUUAGC